AAAGAUUAGGUCUAUUCAUUCUUUCUAACUAUUUUGUGUACCUUUUAAAAUUGAGGUUCAAAAGGAAGUUGUAAUGGUUUCAAAACAAUUGAGAUCAGGGAUCUCUAAAUGGGGCUUUGAGGCACCGGGAAACAUACCCUUACCCUAACCUGCAAAUGGGACUCUGAGAAUGUAAAUGCUUAGGUCAAGUUACCAACUAAAUAACAAAGGCUAAGCCCAGAUAUCAGUUCUAUAAUUUGAGGUGCCCCCACCAUUAUUUUCUCUUGAUCCUCAAGUUUCUUACUCUUUUUACUCAUUUCAAUAUUGUCCAGCUGUAGAUGAAUUCUAUUUUUAGAAGUUAGUGUGGUUACAUUUAAACCUAAUUUUCAAACUGACUUGCUUGAGAUCCAAAGCACAUUUUUAAGCGUCAGAGCUCUAGGAACAGAAAAUAGCAUCCCUGGGAUGACAGGAAGGAUGCCCUGUGCCUGGAGGAGGUCUCUCUCCAGGAUUCAGCACACCGUGGAGCUGUGGGAAGUGUGUUAUCUCUGUCAUGAGAGAGAAAGGAGUGGCUGGCUCAGCAAGAUUAGAGCCUCUCUCUGGAUUGUUCCUCAGAACCAGAAGAACUGUGUGGAGUGGCAGCAACUGGAGGAAGCAGAAUGUCCCCGAGCAAGAUUGUCAAGAGAAAAAAGUUACAUGUAUAAAAUCUACAGUAGAAUUGGAAGAUGGAUCUAAUGAGAAUAACACUAAGGAAACACCAUCCUUCAAAAACUAAAAGCUCCUUGAUGAGACACCAGGCGAAAGGCAAGAUGCCAGAGUAUAAAUGACUUUGAGACAAGAAAAUGAAGUGUCCCAGAAGAGGAAAUGCAGUAAGUGUUGGGGAUAAAAAGAAGGUUAGAAAGCGAACAAUUUCAGAAGGGAAGAAAUGACCUCUAAAAGGGAAGCUGGGAUGAUAGCAAAGGCAAUGUCAACGUCCUCACAAUUUCACUUAGAUUUUCCUGGCUACUCUGCAGAAGGCAUGAUAAGAUAAAUGCUUAUUGAUUUCAAGAUCAAGGCAACAGGAUCCUUUCUGUUUAAUUAUUUCUUUGUAAGUUAAAAACUAAAUGCUUUGGCAAGUGCUGUAAAUACAAAGGGCAGGGGUAUUCAGUGCCCUUAGAAUCAAUGGCAAGUUCAAGCUGUGUGUGACAAGGGAUAACCAUUAUUCAUCCAUUCAUUCUAACAAAGUCUGUAAAUGACUACCAUGCAUUAGGUGAUGGUCUGGUCACUGAAAUAUCAGAGACAGGUAAAGCUCAGUCUCUGUUCUUAAGGACCUCAGGGUUUAGAAGAAGAAAAAGACAUAUAAGUAAGUACAAUAGAAAUAUAAACAAGAACCAAAGGUAGCUCAGGGGAAGUGAGUAACUCUUAGAGGAAAAUAUUAAAUAAAGGAUUUCUGGAUGAGAGGAUGUUUGAACUGAAUUCUGAAGAUGAAUAAAAGUCCUUCUGGAGAAAUAAAAACACCAUUUUGGCAGAAAUAAUAGUAUAUGUGAAUACAUUUAGAACAAAGCAUGGAAACUAUGUUUAGGAUAUUGUCAUAAGCUUGGUAUCUUUAGAGCAUUUUGUGUAAGUGGUGAGGGGAGAAAAUGGGAGGAGAUAAAAAACGUAAACGUAGGGUAGGGUAGAUUAUGAAUGGAUAGAAAUGUCUCUUAAAGCAUCUGAACUAUACCCAAAUGCCUAGGAGGAGAAAGUGAAGCAUUCAAAGCAGAAGAAACCAGGAAUGGGUUUGCCAGCAGCGUUGAGAAUAAGUUGGAAGACAGAAAUAAGUGAAUUAUAGACACAGAUAUAUAUUUUUGAGUAAUCAGAAAUAGUGAGAAAUAAAGAGAGUCUUGCCUAAGACAGUGGUAGUGGAAAGAAAACAGCAGCAAGACUUAAGAGAUAGUCAAGAAAUAUUCAAUAGAAUCUGGUGAUGACUGAUGUGAGGUGUGAGAGAGACUUCAAGUUCUCUGGUCCAUGGAGAAGGAAGCAUGUUGAAUCUGAGGGGCCAGUAGACAUCUACAUAGCAGGAAAUAAUCGAGAGGGACUGCUGGUGUAAAGAUAUGAAGAGCACCAAAUUCCAUCACUUAUUUAUUUGAUGCUUGCCUCAUAGUAGUCACUCCUAACCCCAAAGGUCUCAGAGUCUCAGUAAUCUCCAAAGAAGGUGCAUGUAAUUAUAGAACACUGAGUUAUUUAAUUACACUACUAGAGGAAGUAUACGGUGUGACGAGAGCAUAGAGAAGGGUUCUUAACAAAGACUUGGCAUAAGGUAGCAUGGAGAGAGGGCAGCAGGCCAGGCAGGUUAGAGAAAAAAAAAAGUGUAAGCUGACAUCUAAAGACCUAGUAGAAAUGAACCAGAAAAAAAGGAAUACAGAAAUUUUUCAAGCAGUGAAAGUCCCAUGUGCCAUGACCAGGAAGCGAUAAUGGGCAUGGCGUACCUGAGAAAUUGUGGAAUGUUCCAUCGCUGGAGUGUCAAGUCUAAAAGGAGAACAGCAAGAGCUGAAGCUGGGAAAGUUAGCUUUGGCAUGAUCAUGGCACAAGCUAUUUUAUAGAACUUAAACUUUAUCUAGUGUGCAAGAGAAAGCCACUUAAGGAUUUUUUAGCAGGGUAGUGAUACAAUCAGAUUUGUAUUUUAAAAACUCAUUCCAGCUACUGUGUGGAAAAUGAGAUGUUAAUUAAAAUAGUGAGCCUCGAUGUGAUUUCCUAGGAUAAAGACCACAAUUUGAUUCAACCUGCUAAUGUGCUCUGGCCUUCAGGGUGCAUUUAAAAAAUUUAUUCAUUUAAUUCUGAGUUAGUUGUGAACAUUUAAAAAUUGGGAACUCUCACAUAAAAUCAGGGUUCCAGGGUUCUUUUGACAAAGUAGAUCUGGCAAAGCUGUGUCCUUACUCCUGACCUGUCAGCAACUGGCUGGAGCUGAGUUGUCCACAAAAUGAUGCUUUUAUACAACGUAGGUGCCCUUCUGCUCACCACAGUCCAAUGGAGGCAUUUAGUUUGAUUUUAGUGCCCCGGAAUUAACCAGAGAGAACAUGUAGACUGAGAAUAAAGAACCGCUGGACAUGCCUAUCUAAAACCAAACUCCUCUGCCAGAUGACAUCCCCAUUUCCUACUCAUGAUUUUUGUUUUAUCAAUUUUUUUCUCAUCAAAUUUUCCCCUCUACCGGGUCAUUUCCAUUGACAUAAAAACAUGUUAUUUUUCUGUCUUAACAAGAAUUUUUCUUGGCUCUCUUCCCCACCAGCUACCCCCAUAACUUUGUUCUCUUUUCCUCUCAAAUCAUCUUCUCAAGCCAACCACUCUAGGAACACCGCUCAUGUCAGUGUCAUCAAGGACUUUCUUGCUGCCAAUUUCAAUGUGUAGUUCUUAGUCCUCACCUUACUUAACCUAUCUGCGGUAAUCAACACAAAGUUAGUCAUUGCCUUUUAUUUGAAACGAUGUUUUACCCCCUUGACUUUUAGGAUACACUACAUAUCUUGAGGAUCUUUCUACCUUGCUGACUCUUCCUUCUUAGUCUCUUUUAUGAAUUCUUCUUUCUCAAGGCCGGAGAGCCUCAUAUCUUAGUCUUUGUAUCUCUUCUCUGUCUGUACUCACUCCUUGUCAUUCAGGGCUGUCAACAACCUUAUGUCUUUAAAUACCAUCUAUAUGUUAAAAGCUUCCAAGUUCCUUACUCCAGCCCCUACCUUUCUCUUGAGCACCAUUCUCCCAAUGCCUAGUUGAUUUUUGACAUCUAACUAAAAAGCAUCUAAAGUUCACUAUGUUAAAUACAAACUUGGAUUCUCAUCUGUCUUCCACUAAACAUGCCCCUCUCAUAGCAUUCCUAUCUUAAAAAAUGACAUCCCAUUCCACCUGUUGUCAAUGCCAAAGACUUCUAAAAUAACCUUACUUCUUCUGUUUCCUUCACACCACACAUCAAAUCUGCUGCAAAUCCUAUUGGCCCUACCUAUCUUUGAAAUUUUUCCAGAAUGCAAUCCCUUCUUCCUCCUCCACUGCUUCCACUCUGGUCCAAUCCCCUUCGAUCUCCUUCCUGGAAUUUUACAAUAGUUUCCUAGCUGAUGUCUCUGUUUUCAAGGUUCCUUCCUGCAGGUUCUACACUGAAAAAGCAACCAGCACUUGAAAAGAAAGAGGGUUUCUGUAAUACUUUCUCAGGAUGAGUUUGAAGUUAUGCAUUUGGGGCAAAACUAUUGUAUAAGUGAGGUGUGUCCUUCUUGGUACAUCAUGAUGAAGUUGAUAUGUCUUAUUUCUAGAGAUUUUAAUCUUAAUAAUUUGUUUAAGGCAGUGCCUACAGAUUGUCCCCACUGUAAAGAAACAUAUCUAUGUAGACUUUUUGAACAUGUACAGUACAUGUUGUGUUUCUCUACAAACUUUGACUAGUCACCAGUAGAAGAAAAGGAUCCAGAAAAAGAAUGGAGUAUUGAACAUCUCUUGUGUCCUACUUCACAUUGUACUGUCACACUUUCUUAAAGCUGCCAUUUUUUGGAACAACCAGCUGAGCUAAAAUGUAAUCAGAUAGUAUCUUGUCAUAACUGUACAGAGUAACUUUGGGGACUUUAGCCAUAAGGAUUAGCUGGCAACAACAAAAAGGACAUUGUUGGAAUUCACUCAGAUAUACUUCCACAUGUGCAAAUGUGGAAGUGCAAUGUUGCUAAUUGUCUGAUGUGGUUUGGCUCUGUGUCCCCAACCAAAUCUCAUCUUGUAGCUUCCAUAAUUCUCAUGUGUUGUAAGAGGGACUGGAUGAGAGAUAAUUGAAUCAUGGCAGUGGGCCUUUCCUGUGUUGUUCUCAUGAUAGUGGAUAAGUCUCACAAGAUGUACCUCACGAUAUCUGAUGGCUUUCAAAACCGGAGUUUGGGUCGGGCCUGUUGGCUUAUGCCUGUAAUUCCAGCACUUUGGGAGGCCAAGGCUGGUGGAUCACCUC
Molecule: long non-coding RNA, 4891 nt
Filed under: Homo sapiens (human)
Lineage: Eukaryota; Metazoa; Chordata; Mammalia; Primates; Hominidae
Description: HSALNT0310945
Source: RNAcentral